AUGAACAGAGGUAUGAAGGAGUCUAAAUCUGAAACUGACGUCCAACCAGUCUACGCUUCCCUCUACGCCCAUGCGAUUACCAUCAUCAUUGUCCACGAGCUUGCCGCUUCAGCAAUCGCAGAUCACCUCCGCAAAAAGCAUCACAUUAUCGUCAGAGCCCAUGCCUUCACUCUCUCCAUAGCCACUCCCUCCGUAUAUCCAUCAUAG
Molecule: non-coding RNA, 207 nt
Organism: Vicia faba (fava bean)
Lineage: Eukaryota; Viridiplantae; Streptophyta; Magnoliopsida; Fabales; Fabaceae
Source: the annotation of a GenBank genome assembly